Molecule: ribosomal RNA, 598 nt
Filed under: Aspergillus fumigatus
Lineage: Eukaryota; Fungi; Ascomycota; Eurotiomycetes; Eurotiales; Aspergillaceae
Description: eukaryotic LSU rRNA
Rfam family: 5.8S ribosomal RNA (bases 217-370)
Source: RNAcentral
UCCGUAGGUGAACCUUGCGGAAGGAUCAUUACCGAGUGAGGGCCCUCUGGGUCCAACCUCCCACCCGUGUCUAUCGUACCUUGUUGCUUCGGCGGGCCCGCCGUUUCGACGGCCGCCGGGGAGGCCUUGCGCCCCCGGGCCCGCGCCCGCCGAAGACCCCAACAUGAACGCUGUUCUGAAAGUAUGCAGUCUGAGUUGAUUAUCGUAAUCAGUUAAAACUUUCAACAACGGAUCUCUUGGUUCCGGCAUCGAUGAAGAACGCAGCGAAAUGCGAUAAGUAAUGUGAAUUGCAGAAUUCAGUGAAUCAUCGAGUCUUUGAACGCACAUUGCGCCCCCUGGUAUUCCCGGGGGCAUGCCUGUCCGAGCGUCAUUGCUGCCCUCAAGCACGGCUUGUGUGUUGGGCCCCCGUCCCCCUCUCCCGGGGGACGGGCCCGAAAGGCAGCGGCGGCACCGCGUCCGGUCCUCGAGCGUAUGGGGCUUUGUCACCUGCUCUGUAGGCCCGGCCGGCGCCAGCCGACACCCAACUUUAUUUUUCCAAGGUUGACCUCGGAUCAGGUAGGGAUACCCGCUGAACUUAAGCAUAUCAAUAAGCGGAGGA